AUUGAACGCUGGCGGCAUGCCUUACACAUGCAAGUCGAACGGCAGCACGGGAGCAAUCCUGGUGGCGAGUGGCGAACGGGUGAGUAAUGUAUCGGAACGUACCUUUCAGUGGGGGAUAACGUAGCGAAAGUUACGCUAAUACCGCAUAUUCUGUGAGCAGGAAAGCAGGGGAUCGCAAGACCUUGCGCUGAUUGAGCGGCCGAUAUCAGAUUAGCUAGUUGGUGAGGUAAAGGCUCACCAAGGCGACGAUCUGUAGCGGGUCUGAGAGGAUGAUCCGCCACACUGGAACUGAGACAUGGUCCAGACUCCUACGGGAGGCAGCAGUGGGGAAUUUUGGACAAUGGGCGCAAGCCUGAUCCAGCCAUGCCGCGUGAGUGAAGAAGGCC
This 386-nucleotide ribosomal RNA is filed under the name uncultured bacterium. RNAcentral describes it as "bacterial SSU rRNA". It matches the Rfam family "Bacterial small subunit ribosomal RNA", at positions 30 to 416 of the family's 1533-position model. The record is from RNAcentral.